Molecule: ribosomal RNA, 466 nt
Filed under: uncultured bacterium
Lineage: Bacteria
Description: partial 16S ribosomal RNA
Rfam family: Bacterial small subunit ribosomal RNA
Source: RNAcentral
GAUGAACGCUGGCGGCGUGCUUAACACAUGCAAGUCGAACGAUGAAGCCCAGCUUGCUGGGUGGAUUAGUGGCGAACGGGUGAGUAACACGUGAGUAACCUGCCCUUGACUCUGGGAUAAGCCUGGGAAACUGGGUCUAAUACUGGAUAUGACUUCUCAUCGCAUGGUGGGGGGUGGAAAGAUUUAUUGGUCUUGGAUGGACUCGCGGCCUAUCAGCUUGUUGGUGAGGUAAUGGCUCACCAAGGCGACGACGGGUAGCCGGCCUGAGAGGGUGACCGGCCACACUGGGACUGAGACACGGCCCAGACUCCUACGGGAGGCAGCAGUGGGGAAUAUUGCACAAUGGGCGCAAGCCUGAUGCAGCGACGCCGCGUGAGGGAUGACGGCCUUCGGGUUGUAAACCUCUUUCAGUAGGGAAGAGGCGAGAGCGACGGUACCUGCAGAAGAAGCGCCGGCUAACUACGUG